RNAcentral lists this unclassified non-coding RNA (1115 nucleotides) under Bombus terrestris (buff-tailed bumblebee). RNAcentral describes it as "misc RNA ENSBTSG00005021565.1". Lineage: Eukaryota; Metazoa; Arthropoda; Insecta; Hymenoptera; Apidae. The record is from RNAcentral.
GAAUGAGCAGCGAUCGUUUCGAUUCAAUUGCACCUGAAAGUGAAAAUUUCUGUUUAAUAGUGGUCAAAAUUCCCCAUGCAACUGUUCGUAUUAUUUUUCAUUCGAUUCCAAGUACAAUAACACGUCAUCGUUCUUAAUUAAUCUCUUCGUCUCUCCUCGAUUCUAUUCAUAAAUGAAGUUAAAGGAGAAGCAAAGCUGAACCCAGUUUGCACUCAUGAACGCUACGAGCAUUGUUACAGGGGCAUAACUCUUUCAGGCAGCGAUACAAGUUUAACUGACAGUGUUUCGCGCUGCGUAAAAUGCCGAAUACAGCUCUCGGGACGGUUCAACUUCCAACUUUCCAUCGGGACAAAGUUCCAAGAAGGGCGUCUCUUCUCAACCGCGAAAACUUGCAACUAAUUCCCUCCAGGGUGUGUCACCUAUACGCAACGAGUGACAGACUGGUUGUUCUCCAUUUCCUCGAAUCGCCAAUGAUACCAACAAAUUGUAUCAAGUUGUCCAUAGCGAUGAUUAAAACGAAAAGAGUGGCACAAUGCACUUUGCAUUGUCGGUCAAUGCGAAACGAAACCGUCUGCCGUUACUAGAGCGUGACUACUAGGGUGUCGAUAGAAUUAAAAGAACAGAUAGAAAGAGAGGAAGAAAGAAGCAACAACUAGAGAUACAGAGCACAAGAAAAAAUGAGUGUCACGACGAUGCAUCCUGUUCGUUCCUAUUUUUCAUUCUCUACCCUCCCGACCAGGCUAUGCCGGAAGAAAAGAGAAACAAAGACCAAGGUGGCGUUCGUCGAAUCACUGAAACGUCUCGCGCGUUUGUUUGAUUUCAUUCGGAACCAAUUGAUUUGUUUGCGUCCAUUUCCACCCGGGCAACGUUAUUUCCACCUAUCGAAUGUGAAACGCGAAGCGUUCCGUUGAAUCGUUCGGAAAACUGAACGCGCUCGUGAGAUAAAUUCCGACCGUUUACGCCGAGUCUCCACGGUCUCCCCGGACGUUUCCAGGCGAGACGAACUUUACGGUUCACGAUCGACGAGGUAUCCGACACUGCGGUAGUCGCUUGUUUCGAAAACUUAAUUUUCUAACGGUGUAUUUACUGUAACCGAUUGCAAACGAAAAUACAGC